UGAGGGCCCGGCUUGGACCCAAGACAUCUGUCGGCCCAAUCAUACAUGAGCCACCGGAGGACGAGGUAGUGGAGCCGGUUCGAGUGCUGGCGAAGCGCAGAAUACGAGUAGAAGGACGACUGGAAAUCCAGAUACUAGUGGAGUGGCUGGGGAGAGCAGCAGACCAGGCCACAUGGGAGUUUGAGACUGAGAUACUUGAUCGUUUCCCUGACUUCCGACCUUGAGGACAAGGUUAAGGGAAGCGUGGUGGAGUGAUGCGGUUGGAUCUACUAGACCGCCUCGGACUUAAUCAUUUGGUUAUUUUUGCUUUUGAGUCCUUGAUGUUAAUUUCAUUUCAGCAUAGCCUUGCUCGGGUUAGCCGACUUGGCCUUUAUUAGAGUCGCUUUGGGUUUAGUUGCUUCUUGAAUUCAAUUAGAUCAAGUCAAGUUAAGGGGUCCGGUAGCCACCUAUAAAUAGAUUUGGUGAGCACCUAUUUCAGGAUGCAAAAAUUAAUUGAAAGGCUUUUGCCCUAGCUCUCUUCCCUUCUCUCUUCUCUUCUUGCGACGCCUUCCCCCUCU
RNAcentral lists this long non-coding RNA (557 nucleotides) under Phoenix dactylifera (date palm). RNAcentral's name for it is "long non-coding RNA (PDAC_LNC013685)". The record is from RNAcentral. Lineage: Eukaryota; Viridiplantae; Streptophyta; Magnoliopsida; Arecales; Arecaceae.